Molecule: ribosomal RNA, 897 nt
Filed under: uncultured bacterium
Lineage: Bacteria
Description: bacterial SSU rRNA
Rfam family: Bacterial small subunit ribosomal RNA
Source: RNAcentral
AGAGUUUGAUCCUGGCUCAGGACGAACGCUUGCGGCGUGCCUAAGAAAUGCAAGUCGAACGGACAGGUUGAGCAAUCUUCCUGUUAGUGGCGAACGGUCGCGUAACACGUAGGCAACCUGCCCAAAAGUGGGGGACAACAGCUUGAAAGAGCUGCUAAUACCGCAUGUGGCCCGGUGGCGGCAUCGCUACUGGUCUAAAGCUUAAUGCGCUUUUGGAUGGGCUUGCGGCCUAUCAGGUAGUUGGUGGGGUAAUGGCCUACCAAGCCGACGACGGGUAGCUGGUCUGAGAGGACGAUCAGCCGGAUUGGGACUGAGAUACGGCCCAGACUCCUACGGGGGGCAGCAAUUAGGAAUCUUGCGCAAUGGGGGCAACCCUGACGCAGCGACGCCGCGUGCGGGAUGAAGGCAUUCGUGUCGUAAACCGCUUUUUACGGGGAAGAAGAAUUUGACGGUACCCGUCGAAUAAGCCCCGGCUAACUACGUGCCAGCAGCCGCGGUAAUACGUAGGGGGCGAGCGUUGUCCGAAGUUACUGGGCGUAAAGCGCGCGUAGGCGGCCAUUUAAGUUCGGGGUGAAAGGUUCAACGCUCAACGUGAACAGUGCCUUGAAUACUGGGUGGCUUGAGUUCGGGAGAGGGCAGUGGAAUUCCUGGUGUAGCGGUGAAAUGCGUAGAUAUCAGGAGGAACACCGAUGGCGAAGGCAGCUGCCUGGCCUAGAACUGACGCUGAGGUGCGAAAGCGUGGGGAGCAAACAGGAUUAGAUACCCUGGUAGUCCACGCCGUAAACGAUGAGUGCUAGGUGUUCGGGGUAUCGACCCCCCGGGUGCCGCCGCUAACGCAGUAAGCACUCCGCCUGGGGAGUACGGCCGCAAGGUUGAAACUCAAAAGGAAUUGACGGA